UAUUAAAAAUUUGAUUAAUUUCUACUAUUAAAAAUCAACAUGAUAGAUAGAACAAUCAAAUAGUGACACGUGAUAUGCCAUAUGUGCCUCAUACUAACAUAUAUGAACUCAUUUUUAACAGUAAAAAUAGAUAGUUUUUUUAACA
Molecule: non-coding RNA, 145 nt
Organism: Gossypium arboreum
Lineage: Eukaryota; Viridiplantae; Streptophyta; Magnoliopsida; Malvales; Malvaceae
Source: Rfam